AAAAGGUAAACAAACCUGUAUGUUUAUAUGUAUAAUUUGAAAUAAAAAAAUAACAUUAAAAUACUUUCAUUUGAAUAACGCUUGACUUAAGGUAAAAUGGUUUCAAUGUAAUCAUACAGUAAUAUAACACAAAGCAGGAAAUAUAUAUCUUAUAUAGAGCACAUAGAGCCCAGUUAAUGUAGCACAUGAACAAGUCAAAUAAUGUUGCAUCAUUAGAAUUAAAUGAUGCACUAUUCAAGAAUAAAAUAAAUAAGUUAGAAGGGUGGCUAUUUCAACGUUUAAACAAAUGGGAUAAUGUCAAAGUGUCGGAGAUCAUAAGUGUGUGUAGUGUAUAAAUGUGACAGUGUUAUGAGGUCAUAAGGUGGCGUGCGUAGUGUACAAAAUGUGUCAGA
Non-coding RNA from Biomphalaria pfeifferi, 392 nucleotides. NCBI's taxonomy places the organism in Eukaryota, Metazoa, Mollusca, Gastropoda, Planorbidae. The record is from the annotation of a GenBank genome assembly.